RNAcentral lists this ribosomal RNA (515 nucleotides) under uncultured bacterium. RNAcentral describes it as "bacterial SSU rRNA". It matches the Rfam family "Bacterial small subunit ribosomal RNA", at positions 8 to 502 of the family's 1533-position model. The record is from RNAcentral.
AGAGUUUGAUCCUGGCUCAGAACGAACGCUGGCGGCGUGCUUAACACAUGCAAGUCGAACGAGAAAGUUUCCUUCGGGAAACGAGUAGAGUGGCGCACGGGUGAGUAACGCGUAGGUAAUCUAUCCUUAUAUUUGGGAUAACAUUGGGAAACUGGUGCUAAUACCGAAUACCCUUCUUUGCUGCUGGGCAAAGUAGGAAAGGUGGCCUCUUCAUGAAAGCUACCGUAUAGGGAUGAGCCUGCGUACCAUUAGCUAGUAGGUGGGGUAAUGGCCCACCUAGGCUACGAUGGUUAGCGGGUCUGAGAGGAUGAUCCGCCACACUGGAACUGGAACACGGACCAGACUCCUACGGGAGGCAGCAGUGAGGAAUAUUGCGCAAUGGGGGAAACCCUGACGCAGCGACGCCGCGUGAGUGAGGAAGGUUUUCGGAUCGUAAAGCUCUGUCAGAAGGGAAGAAGUGUUAUGUGGUUAAUACCCAUAUAAUUUGACGUACCUUCAGAGAAGCACCGCUAACU